This 1011-nucleotide long non-coding RNA is filed under the name Lupinus angustifolius (narrow-leaved blue lupine). RNAcentral's name for it is "long non-coding RNA (LANG_LNC001302)". Lineage: Eukaryota; Viridiplantae; Streptophyta; Magnoliopsida; Fabales; Fabaceae. The record is from RNAcentral.
AUUCAUAUAAAUUGUUUUUACUUUUUGAAUACUUUAUGAAUGUUGUGUGAAUCGUACAGCCUCUUAUUUUGCCUCUGAAAGGUAAAUGGAAGUAGGAUGUUACUGAUGAAUUCCUUCCUACAUUAUCAUAUUUUAAAGUUUAUAUUUUUACUACACUUUUGACUUUAAAAAAAUACAAAAUCUUGAAGGGAUAAUGUUUGAAAUCAAACCGACCUUACAUAAAAGCAAAGCAGAGGAUGCAGAAAACAGAGGAGCAACCAAGUUGAACAUGCAGAGUUGCAGAAAGAUAUGACCACAACAGAUGGUGUACUUCUUUGCUUUUAAACCCACCUCAUCCUUCCAUAUUGGUCAUUGGAGGCUGCUACCGCCUUUCAAUUUUAAGUAUUUUUGACACCACAAUUCAUUCUUAUAUAUAUCUAUCUUCCUCAGGGGAUAUAUUUGUUGUCUCAUAGUUUGUGUCACUUCAUGUAUCAUGGGCUCGUGAUUACAAGUUCACGGUACAUGAAAUGGUAUAAACUGUGGACAGCAGAUGUGUUCUAGUGGAAACAUCAUGCACCAAGUUAUCUUUGAAUGGAAAGAAGAAUUUAUCUGAAAAUAUAUUCAUUUGUGCUUAAAAAGCAUAUACUAAUUUCUCAACAAUUAGUGAACUCUGGAUAGUGUGCUUAUGUCUAAACUGGGAAUGAAAUCAGGACACAGUUUAAAAAUCCCAAAAACAUAAUCACAGUGCUCAUGAAAUUUAUAAGUUGUCUGACAAGUGUAGAACUGUCCUACAACAGGGUUAUGCAUGUUCAGAUGAAGCAAAAGGCAUGUGAUAGGAAAUUUUUUGGUUUGGAAAUUGAAAUCCUCUCACACUGUCUUAUCCCUUCUGUUUCCAAGCCCAUACACCUCACUGUCACGCCCACUUUUAUGUGAUGAUGCUACUCAGAGACCCAUCACAGUUUCCAAUUCUUCAAGAACACCUCUUUUGUUUUUAUUUUCCACAUGUAUCCUCACACUAGAAGCAAUCUUGUC